RNAcentral lists this ribosomal RNA (1310 nucleotides) under Triticum aestivum (bread wheat). RNAcentral's name for it is "partial small subunit ribosomal RNA". The record is from RNAcentral. Lineage: Eukaryota; Viridiplantae; Streptophyta; Magnoliopsida; Poales; Poaceae.
CUGAUAUUUACGCGUCCUGGACACUGUUCCUCUUCCUCAUCCUCUUUCCGUUCCCCACUCCUAUCCUCUCAGAUCUAAACUGCCAAUACAUCCGCUCGCUCCCUGUACCGGCCGGCACCGGCGCCCGUCGACAUGUCUGCCUCGUCCUCGACCUCACAGUCCCUCGCACCCAUCCUCCAAGAGCAGCCUCCUCUUCCUCUCAUCCGUUGCCCCUGGUGCCACAACGGCGACAUCGAGUGGUGGGUUUCCCGGACUCCCAAGAACCCCGGGAAACACUUCUACAAGUGCGAGCGUCACUGGGUUAGUGAAUACUUUUCCUGUCCCGGAUUGAUCAUGUUAUUCGAAGGGAAACUCUGCAUGCCGGUCACUGCAGAUCCACCCCACCCCGCACAUAAACAUCGAUGGAUUCGGGUGCGAGCCGGUCACUGCAGAUCCAGCACGGGCUGAGACUUUGGGGAUGAAGGUCGGCGACUAGGCAAGGAUCCUCGGCGGCUUGGUGUUGAGUCUUUCCUCGUAUUUUCUCUCUGCAAAUUUUUGUUUCUCAAAUUUUCUCUCUGAGGUGUUGUGAUCGUAUUUUCUUUCCUUGUUUUUUCUCUGAAAAUUUCUUUCCUAAAAAUUUCUCGCUGAGGUUUUCUGUUUUUUUCGCCAACUCUGACACCAUUCGGUAUGCAACGGCGGCGGCCAGCAGCAGAAGUACGCAACGCUAGCCGCUGGGGCAGUGAUUGCUUGUGGCGGCGAGAAGCGAGCAGCAGCUGCAGUACGCGGAGCUGGGGCAGGGGCAGCCCGUGUCGGCGAGCAGCGGCAGCCCGUGGCGUCAGCGAGCAGCAAGAAAUAGGUGGCACAGACGAGAUGGGGAGCAGUAAAUCCAUGCUGCCAACUCUCAAGGUCCUCCUCAUCCUGGGGAUCCUCAAUCUAGCGCCGUUCUGUAUCUCUUCCUGAGGCUCAACUGAACUUGUAAAUAAGAUCUCUGUAGCUAGCCUAAUUCUUUUUUCUUUUUUGCGGAAAAUCACCUGGUUAAUUGUUACCUGCCCUUCGAUCCAGGAAGUUCAUGUGAAAAUAAAAAGUUCCAGGAAGUUCAGAUUUAUAUGUAGCUUCUCUAUCUUCCAAGAUGUAACCAGGAUAUUAAGUUCCAGGAAGUUUACUUAAUAUCCUGGAAGACAGAGAUGCUGGUUUAAGUUUCAGGAGAUAUGGAUUUUUGACUAAGUUGAAUUUAAUUGUGAGUAAGAUGUUUUUUUACUUAUAACCAAGAAGCUGGAUAUUACGUAAACCAGGAUAUAUUUCUGUCUUCCAUGGUGUAUUUUCUGCCUUAU